CUGGGAUUAGAUACCCCACUAUGCUUAGCCCUAAACAUAGAUAAACCACCUACAUUUGUUUAUCCGCCCGGGUACUACGAGCAUUAGCUUGAAACCCAAAGGACUUGGCGGUACUUCAAACCCAUCUAGAGGAGCCUGUCCUAUAACCGAUAAUCCCCGUUAAACCUCACCCUUCCUUGUUCCCCCCCCCGCCUAUAUACCGCCGUCGCAAGCUUACCCUGUGAAGGAAUAGAAGUAAGCUCAAUUGGCACUGCCCAGAACGUCAGGUCGAGGUGUAGCUUAUGGAAGGGGAAGAGAUGGGCUACAUUCCCUGAUUCAGGGCAUACGGACAAUGCGCUGAAACGCGCAUUCGAAGGCGGAUUUAGUAGUAAGUAAAGAAUAGAGUGCUCUGCUGAAAAAGGCUCUGAAGUGUGUACACCCCGCCCGUC
This 428-nucleotide ribosomal RNA is filed under the name Eucinostomus havana. RNAcentral describes it as "partial 12S ribosomal RNA". It matches the Rfam family "Bacterial small subunit ribosomal RNA", at positions 772 to 1398 of the family's 1533-position model. The record is from RNAcentral. Lineage: Eukaryota; Metazoa; Chordata; Actinopteri; Gerreiformes; Gerreidae.